UUUUUUUUUUUAAGAGCUGCAACAGAUUGAAUCUGGUGAAGUUUUCCAUUUUUAUGAGGACAAAAUGCUAUUAAGACCUAUAAACAAAUGUAUUUUUAUUAAAAAUGACUAAUGCUUAGUGAAAAGUUCAAAGGCUGGAAAAGAAGCACUAAAAAACGUUUUUAAAAGCAACAAUUCAGCUCACUCAGUUACUGGAAAAGUCAUUUUCAUACUUAAGCUUCAGGGCUAUGCAGCAGCUGGAAAAGCAGCUUAUUUUAUUAUAUAGUUAAUAAACGUCAUGCACUUUUCUUGAAAGAGUCAAAAUAUUACCUUUAAAUAAUGCAAACAACUCUAUAAGAGCAAACAAGGUAUACAACAGAUUCAAGACACAAUGCAUACCAUAAUAAAAGAUACCUCUCAAUUAGAUGCAGUGUAUUCUCACUCAUUGGCUCCUGUAUCCAAAAAUAUGAAUCAAAGGAUAUUUUAAAAAGUUGUUAAAAUUGAAUAAAUUUAAACAAAAAUCUAUAUUAAAUUAAUAUUACUGAGUUUAAGCUAAAUUUUUCAGUUUAACAAUGUUUUAAACUUAGGUAGGAGAAUGUCCUUGUUCCUUAAAGAUUCAUGCCAAAGUAUCUGGGGGUAAAAUAUCUGCAACUUACUUUCACAUGUAUUUAUUAAGUGUGUGCGUAUGUAUAAAGAGAUAAAGCACAUGUUCCAAAAAAUUAAAAAUCGGUAACUCUAAAUGUGGUGCUAUGGGCAUUCACCGCACUAUUAUGCCAAAUUUUCUGUAGGUUUUUAAUUUUUAUAAAUAAAAAGCUAAGGUGGAGGACAAGCUAUCUUGAUCCAACAUUAUUAGAAAAUAGCAUCUCUUCAGAGAGACAAAGCAGAACUAAGCAGGUAAACAUCACUACAAAAGCAAAUUUAUUUAGCAUCUAAAUACAGUACACUGUAUAGGUAGUCUAACAAAAAACUAACGUCGUGUCUGGCUUUUAAGAACACAUAAUCAAAAAAAAACAUAAUCUAAGGCAAAUACUAUUGAUAAACAUAAAAAAACAUUUAAAUAGAAAUAACACCUAAAUUUUUUUUAAGAUUUUAUUUAUUUAUUCAUGAGAGACACAGAGAGAGAGAGGCAGAGACAUAGGCAGAGGGAGAAGCAGGCUCCACAUAGGGAGCCCGAUGCAGGACUCGAUCCCGGGUCUCCAAGACCAGACCCCAGGCCAAAGGCAGUGCCAAACCACUGAGCCACCCAGGCUGUCCUAUAAAUUUAAACGAUAAAUUAAGCUUUUGUUCUAACCAUCACUUUUUUAAUCACACAAACCUUAAAACUCUGUACAUUGUACCAUCUCAUUUGACCUCAUAGGAUACAAAACUCUGACUAGUGUCAUGCUUUCUUUCAAGACAGCAUGUCUUCAAUGACCAUGAAGGAGGGAUUUGAUUUUAUAAGACAAAGUAGUUCAUUUCCAUUUAGACACUAUAACAGAAUAUUUUGCAUUUAAUCACAAAUUUGCCCUCUUCCUAACCCCUGCCUUCCUUCAUAAGUCAGCUCUAAUGCUCUUUCUUAGAAGCAUUUUCUGGGGGUGCCUGGGUGGCUCAGUCAGUUAAGCUGCCAACUCUUGUCAGGUCAUGAUCUCGGUCCUGGGGAUCAAGCUUGUGUGUCAGGGUCCAUGGUCAGUGUGGAAUCUUCUUGAAGAUUCCCUCUCUCUCUCUCUGCCCUUUCCCCCUGCACUUGCUCGCUCACAUGUGCAUAUUCUCUCUCUAAAAUAAAUAAAUCUUUUAAAAAAAAAAAAAAAAAAGCAUUUUCAGAUUGCCCAAGGUGAGUUGGAUGUCCUUCCAUGUUCUCUUAUUUAUCGCAUAGUAUUAUCAUUGAUUUUUCUUGUCCACACUAAUCCAGUAUUUACUAGGUACUUGAAAUACAUGAAUGAGUAAGAUGCUUUUAAUGCCAUCAGCAAGCUCUUAGCCUGGUAGUGGAGACACCAACCAUGCAAAGAAAUAAUUAUCAUGAAUUAUCAUGCCAUCUACCAAGCUGUCAAAAACCUCAGAUUCAUCUCUUAAUUCCUCUCUUUUCCCAACUCACAUACAGCCCACUGGCAGAAUGACUCUAUCACCCGACACAACAUAAAUGCAUCCACUUCUAUUUACAUCAUAACCCUGGUCCAGACACUACCUUCUCUCACCCAGAUUGCUACUAUGAGACACACCUUCCCCUCAUGACUUCGUACAAUCUGUUUUUCACACAAGAUCCAAAGUAAUCUUUUAAAACAUAAAACAUAUCACGUCAGUCCCCUGCUUAAAUCCUUCUGAUUGUUUCCAUUUGGAAUAAAAUCCAAAUUUCUUACCAUGGAUGCCUAACAGGUUCUAUAUAACCUGUACCUGUCUGUGUGUCUGUCCUGAUCUCCAUCUAGUCUCCCUUUCACACAGAACACUUCAGUUCUGAUCCUUCUGAUCCUCAAAUAUACCAAAUUGUUCCCUCUUACACAUUUGCACUCCUGAUUUCCCCUACAUAAAAUGCUAUAGAUUUGUGUGGCUGGCUCAUUACUGCCAUGCAGGUCUCAUUUAAAAUGUUAUAACAAGCAAAGCCUAAAGCAAGCAGAAAGAAGGAAAUAAUAAAAAUCAGAGUAGAAAUGCACAAUACAGAAACUAAAAAUACAAUAGAUCAAAAGAACCAGAAGAUGGUUCUUUGAAAAAAUUAAUAAAGUUGAUAAAUCUCUAGCCAGUCUUAUCAAAAAGACAAAGGACUCAAACAAAUAAAACCACAAAUGAGAGAGGGAAAAAAAAAAUGAGAGAGGGGAAAUAAUAACACCAUAGAAAUUCAAACACUUACUUGAAAAGAAAGAAUAAAAAGAGCAUUAUGAAAAUAUGCCAACAAAUUGAACAACCUAGAAAAAAUAGAUAAAUUCCUAUAAACAUAAAUGACCAAAACUGAAACAGGAAGAAAUAGAAAACUUGAAGAGACCAAUAAUCAGCAAAGAAAUUAAAUCAGUAAUCAAAAAACUCCCAACAAACAAAAGUUCUACCAAAUUUUUUUUUUUUUUUAGAUUUUGUUAAGUAAUCUCUACACUCAACAUGAAGCUCAAACUCACAACCCUGAGAUCAAGAACUGCAUGCUCUACUGACUCAGCUAGCUAGGCGCCCCACAUCCCACAAAUAUUUAAAGAAAAAUUAAUACCUAUUCUCCUGAAACUAUUCCAAAAAAUAAAAAGAAGGAAAACUCCCAAAGUCAUUCUAGAAGGCCAGCAUUACCCUGAUACCAAAACCAGAUAAAGAUUCCACAUACAUACAUACAUAUAUAAAUAAACAAAUAAAAAGAUUCCACUAAAAUAGAGAACUAUAGGCCCAUAUCUCUGGUGAACAUAGAUGCAAAAAUUAUUCAUUAAAUACUAGCACACUGUAUUUAAUAAUACAUUUUAAAAAUCAUUCACCAUGAUAAGUGGGAUUUAUUCCUGGGUUGCAAGUAUGGUUCAAUAUUCAAAAAUCAAUGUGAUACAUCACAUUAAUAAAACAAAGGGUAAGAACCAUAUGAUCUCUUCAAUAGAUGCAGAGAGCAUCUGACACAGUACAAAAUCCAUUCAAGGGAAAACUCUCAAAAAGUGGGUUUAGAGGAAACACACCUCAACAUAAUACAAAUAUAUGAAAAACCCACAACUAAUAUCACCCUUAAUGGGAAAGAACUGAGAGCUUUCCCUUCAUCAUAAGGAACAAGACAGGAAUAUCCACUCUUGACACUAACACAGUACCGGAAGUCAUAGCCUCAGCAAUCACACAACAAAAAGAAAUAAAAGGCAUCCAAAUUGACAAAGAAGAAGUCAAACUUUCACUAUUUGCAGAUGACAUGAUACCCUGUAUAGAAAACCGAGAGACUCCACCAAAAAACUGCCAGAAAUGACAAAUUCAGUAAAAAUACAGGAUACAAAAUCAGUAUGUAAAAAUCUGUUGCAUUUCUCUACAUCAAUAAUGAAGCACCAGGGAGCACCUGAGUGGCUCCCCAUGACUGAGCAUCUGCCUUUGGCUCAGGUCAUGAUCCCAGGGUCCUAGGAUCGAGUCCCACAUCAGGCUCUGCUUCUUCCUCUGCCUGUGUGUGUCUCUGCCUCUCUCUGUGUGUCUCAUGAAUAAAUCAACAAUCUUAAAAAAAUAAUGAAGCAGAGAAAAGAGAAAUCAAGGAAUUAAUCCAUUUACAAUUACACAAAAACAAUAAGAUACCUAGGAAAAAAUCUAACCAAAGACAUGAAAGAUCUGUACUCUGCAAACUACAAAACACUGAUUAAAGAAAUAGAAGAGAACACAAAUACAUUCCAUGCUCAUAGACAGGAAGAACAAAUAUUGUUAAAAUGUCUAUACUACCCCAUGCAAUCUAAACACUUAAUACAAUCCCUAUCAAAAUACCAACAGCAUUUUUCACAGAGCAAGAACAAACAAUCCUAAUUUUUUUUUAAUUUUUAUUUAUUUAUGAUAGUCACACACAGAGAGAGAGAGAGGCAGAAACACAGGCAGAGGGAGAAGCAGGCUCCAUGCACCGGGAGCCCGACGUGGUAUUUGAUCCCGGGUCUCCAGGAUCACGCCCUGGGCCAAAGGCAGGCACUAAACCGCUGCGCCACCCAGGGAUCCCACAAUCUUAAAAUUUAUAUGGAACCACAAAAGACUCAGAAUAGCCAAAGCAACCUUGAAAAAGAAAGGUAUUUAAAAUAAAAAAUAAGGAAAGCAAACCUGGGGCAGCCCAGGUGGCUCAUGAUAUGAAAUACUGGUCCAGAAAUGAUAUGAAAUACUGGUCCAGAAAAAAAUCAAACUGCAAGAUACUACUCAAAAAUCAGGAUUUCCAUUUUACUUAAAUAAUCAAAGAAAUGUUUACCAAGAGGCUUCUUGGUGUCUUCGUGAAUAAAGUUCUGUCAAUCCUUUUGAAUCAGCUCAAAAGACAUGGCUAAAGCCCAGUUAGACUUGGGUUGGUACCCAUGCUACCCUAGCUUCCAUAUGUUACAUACUCAGGCAUGAUAGAUGAUAGGUAGAUAGAUAAGAGUCCCAUUUACUCCUUACAACAACCCCCUAUUCAGAAGGCAUUAUCCUAUUUCACAGAUGAGGAAGCUAUUUCAGAGAAGAAGCAAAAUCUUAUCAGACAUCUAAAUUUGAAAAUAUUCAAUGGGCAUGUUCUGUCUGGCUUUAAAUCACAUACUCUUUGUAUUUGAGAUGCUCUGAAGUUUUUUGGUCAUGACUUUAACCCCACUGCCACUCUAGCAUGUCCAGCACACAAUUCCAAAAUUUACGCACCAACAAGGACUGUCACUUUGAAUCAUUUCUAAGACUUUUCAGUAUACUAAAAAUAUAGAAUUUAUGGUUCCAUUAUACUAAGACUAUAAAUUCCCAACACCAGGGAUGCCUGGGUGGCUCAGCGAUUGACAGUCUGCCUUCAGCUCAGGGCAUGAUCCUGGGAUCCAGGGAUUGAGUCUCACACAUCAGGCUCCCUGGAGAGAGCCUGCUUCCACCUCUGCCUAUGUUUCUUGUUUCUGCCCCUCUCUCUCUGUGUCUCUCUCAUGAAUAAAUAAAUAAAAUCAUGAAUGAAUGAAUGAAUGAAUAAAUAAAUAUUUCCAAACCAAACUGAUGUAGGCAUGAGUCAGGGGUAGGCAGGAAAAGAUAAGAGAGAGGCCCAGAGUCAGACUCCUACCCAACCCAAGAAAGCAGAGAUAAGACCAUAAUAAUAGAAAAAAAUAAACCUGGCUCCCUAGCUCCAAAAUGUUAGGGAGUAUUCCAUUUUAAUGGCAACUAAGUAAUCACAGAAAUCCCAGAUAUAGAGAAAUGUUAUGGAGGAGAUAUUAACCUGAAAGAAGGGAACACCUUGUUUGGGCACAUGGUAUUUGCAAAAAACAUCUAGCUUGUUAUUUUAAGUCCAGCAUGUUUGUUCUAAAUAUCCACCCUGAUUGAUAAGAAAUUUCAUUGGUGUUGAAACUGAUAUUUCAGUAUCAUUGAAAUUGAUACUCAAUUUCUUAUUCAUAAGAAAUUUACCAAGUUCCCUGGUCAGUUUCCUAUAAAGGACAGACCAUAAAAGACCUCAGUGGCUAACCUGUGGGGACCCCUCUCAGUUUUGAGAGCUUUCUCUGUAUCUCUGCUUAAUAAACUUCUAUUGCUUUGCUCACUCUCUGUUGUCCGCGAGAUUCAUUCUUCGACUCCGGGAGACAAGAACCAAGCUCUCCUGUAUCGAAACCACCAACACAAAUUCAGAAAGUCAAAUUCUGAACCAUCAAGUAAACCCUUUCAAAAAGGACCUUAUUUCCUUUGUAUGUUGUUUCCCUGGAAAAUCUCAACAUCUCAUCCAACAAGACAACUAAUCUGUGAAAGAUUUGAUAUUUAGCUCUUUUAAUAGUGUUCUGGUUCUUGAAGAAGAGUAAAUACCCUUAUUACUGUUCAAACUUUCAGAGUCCUCACAUAACCACAUUACCUUUGUAGAAAGUUAGUGAAGACUUUCAGUGCUACAACAACACUAGAUUUCUACACAAUGAUCACCCCAUACUACCAUUAAUCUGAAGGCCAUAUCCUGUAGCAGUAGGUGGGUAGAUUAAGUAUUUAGUUUUUAUCUAAUAAAGAAGCAGAUUAAUUGUGGAUUAUGCUUAAAAUCUUUAAAAUUAAUGUUAUACCAGCAAACUAGGAUAUCUACUUUCUUAGUAGAAGUGGAAUACCCUUGAGAAACAACUAGCAGGUGAAAUUUACAGACUAAAGUAACAGCUCUGAACCCUACCACCCAACAAUUGGAUUACUAGAGAUUUACCCCAAAGAUACAGAUGCAGUGAAAAACCGAGACACCUGCACCCCAAUGUUUAUAGCAGCAAUGUCCACAAUAGCCAAACUGUGGAAGGAGCCUUCGUGUCCAUCGAAAGAUGAAUGGAUAAAGAAGAUGUGGUCUAUGUAUACAAUGGAAUAUUACUCCAGCCAUCGGUAACGACAAAUACCCACCAUUUGCUUCCAUGUGGGUGGAACUGGAGGGUAUUAUGCUGAGUGAGGUAAGUCAAUCAGAGAAGGACAAACAUUACAUGGUUUCAUUCAUUUGGAAGGAGAGAAAGUGAGUGGGAAGUAUCAGAGAGGGUGACAGAACAUGAAAGACUCCUAACUUUGGGAAACAAGGAGAAGUGGAAGGGGAGGUGGGCGGGGGGAUGGGGUGCCUGGGUGACGGGCACUGAGGGUGGCACUUGACAGGAUGAGCACUGGGUGUUAUGCUAUAUGUUGGCAAAUCGAACUCCAAUAAAAAAAUACAAAUAAAUAAAUAAAUAAAGUAACAGCUCUGAGAAUCUAAUCUGAAAAGGCUACAUAUUAUAUGAUUACAACUAUGGGAUACUCUGAAAAAGGCAAAACUAUGGAAACUAAAAAGAUCAGUGGGAGCCAAGGGUUCUGGAGAAGAGAGAAAAGGAUAAACAGAGCAGGGAAUUUUUAGGGCAGUGAAACUACUCUGUUCUGUAUCAUGAUAGUGGAUCCACGUCAUUAACAUUUGUUAAAACCUAUACAACUUACUACACAAAGAAUGAACCCUAAUAUAAACUUAAGCUAAAAAUAAUGUAUCAAUAUUGGUACAUCAAUUGUUACAAAUAUACCACACUAAUGCAAGCUGCUAAUAAUACAGGAAAUUGGUCUGGGAUGGGGAUGGUGAGGUUGUACACAGGAACUCUCUGUACUUUCUUGCUCACCUAAUACUGUUCUAAAUAAAUAAAGUGUAGAAUUAAAAAAAAUAAAAAUAAGUAACAGUUGGAUAAGCUUUGCCACAUGGAUUCUCACAGGAGCCCAUGGUACCUUGUCCAUAGUGUAUUCAUCAUGCCAGUACUAUAUGGAUGAUAUACUUCAGUCAAAGAGGCCACAGACCAAUGGUGGAGACUCAGAGAACUGGGUCUUGCAGCAUGAUCUUGAACUACACAGGUAUAGAUUAUGUUAAAAUUAGACAAAAAAACUUCUUAGAAAUUUCCAUAUCCCCUUUGGGUGAGUAUUUACUGCUUUUACCUGAAGAGUUCCAAUUCAAAACACUACUGACUUCUAGCCUUAUACUGUAAGAAAACUGUUAUAAAAGCAAGUGGCUUUUAUAGUUAGUUAAGCAUCUACCUUCAACACAGGUCAUGAUCUUGGAGUCCUAGGAUCAGUCUGGCUCCCGGCUCAGCAACUAGUCUGUUUUCCCUCUCCCUUCUCCCUCUGCCCCUCCCCCCCGCAUGUGCUCACAGGCUCACUCUCAAAUAAAUAAAUAAAUACAUACAUACAUACAUACAUACAUAAAUCUUUUUAAAAAAUAAAAAUAAAAGCAAGUAUCUGGACCAGAUAUCCAACCAACACCAACAUGGGCCUGACUAGUAGACCCUCCCUUAAAGACACAGCUCACAGCCUUAAACAAUUCCACAGAACACAACUGUGGCUUAAGACUGAAUGAAAAUACUGGAGCACCUGGGUGGCUCAGUGAUUGAGUAUCUGCUCUUGGCUCAGGCUGUGAUCCCAGAGUCCUGGAAUCAAGUCUCGUGUCUGGCUCCCUGCUGCCUAUUUCUCUGCCUCUCUUUGUGUCUCCCAUGAAUAAAUAAAUAAAGUCUUAAAAAAAAAAAAAAAGACUGAAAAUACCCUCUUUCAGGUAUCUUAGAAGCUCUGUCACUAGACAGAGACUACACAAGAUUCACCACAGGAUACCAGGAACAUGGGUUUAAAGGGGGAUAUGGAAAUAAAAAGGGUUUGAUAGUACAUUAACAGGUUUUCACUGAGGUGGGGGAAAAAAAAAUACCUCAGGUGAGACUUGGUUAUUAUAAUUAGGUCUGCCAACACUGCAAUUUUUAAACUUAGCAAAAAAACAAAAGAAGUCUCUACAGCCGCAUUCUGAGAGGGAGAAAUUAUGCAUAGAUAUUUCCUUCCUCCAGACAUAGUUAAUCCACAUUGCCAAAAUUAAGCUCUUGGUAAGGGGUUUCUUUCAAUCAAGUUUAACUCAUUGGUCAUAGACAAUGGAAGUCUGGCUCCACUGGCACCCAGAUCAAAGUGAAACAAGACUUUCUUCUUUUCACUUUCAUUUUUCAGUUACUAUGCCUGCUAUCUUCACUUUGCACCCCCAUUAAUGGGCUCCUGUGGCCUCUGGAUUCUGGCUACUUCAGUCAUUUAGAAGUAACAGCAUGAGACUGGAGGAAGGAACGAGGGUGACACUGGACUAUAUACUCCCCAGUUUCUCUCCCUCUCCCACAGCUCUCUUCUCUUCAGGAUUCCAAUAAUCUCUCAUUUCCCCCUUCAGCUCUAGGGGUGGUAACAGCUUCCUGAUUACCAGCCUCAGGGGCAUAUACUAUUUCCUGUGUCUUCUCACUGCCCACAAUCUUAUUAAAUUCCCCUCAAAUCAUCCGAAGUAGAAGUGUGCCACCUAUUUCCUACAGGGCCUCUGGCUAAUAAACAUACCACUGAGUUUCUGGCAUAGACCUUCAGGAAACACUAAGUACAAAGUUUUAGGGAAAAUAACUUGGCCUAGGUGAUAGUUUUCAGGACUUAAGAUCCACUUGAGAGAGGAAUCAGUGGUGUGAUAAUGUUAGAUGUUCUGUUGGCCCUUUAGAAUCUUUUUUAAAAAUCAGGUCUCUCAGAGAUUUGAUUCAGAAUCAAUAAAACCUUUGAGACCUUGAAGAAAUUUCAUUGAAAAAUAGUAUAGGCUAUGACUAUGGAAAGAAAAACAACUCUACUCAAGACAUCAAGAACCUUCUAGCUGAGACUGAGCAUAAGAAUUUGAGGUCAAUACAAAACUUCAAUUUCUUUGAAUUUUAAUUCAAAGCUCCAAAAGAACUUGAUAUUUAACCUUAAUUCCCCUGGACUCUUAACUUAAAAAAAGCUGAAUCUUUGAAUAUCUGGUUUUUUUCCCCAAGAAAUUUAUAAUGGGAAAAUGUUUAUCUUCAAAUUUAGGGCAUUCCUUUUAUAUUUUGUUUCAGGUACAAUCUAAUGUAGUUUCAUUUUAUUUCAUAAUUUGAUUUCAUUUUAUAAUUUCUAAGCUACAUUGGACAAUAUGGGCAUCAUAGUUUUUACUGGAACUAGAUUAGGAUGUCAAGUUUCUGUCUUGUGUACAAAGGAGUUUUGGAGUCCACUUAAAUAAUGUGCAGUUUUGACCC
Molecule: long non-coding RNA, 10046 nt
Filed under: Canis lupus familiaris (dog)
Lineage: Eukaryota; Metazoa; Chordata; Mammalia; Carnivora; Canidae
Description: lncRNA (ENSCAFG00845017741.1)
Source: RNAcentral